GACGGACGCUGGCGGCGUGCUUAACACAUGCAAGUCGAACGAUGAAGCCCUUUCGGGGGUGGAUUAGUGGCGAACGGGUGAGUAACACGUGGGUAACCUGCCCUGUACCCUGGGAUAAGCCUUGGAAACGAGGUCUAAUACCGGAUAUGACCUGCUCUCGCAGUGGGGGUGGGUGGAAAGUUUUGGCGGUGCAGGAUGGACCCGCGGCCCAUCAGCUUGUUGGUGGGGUGAUGGCCUACCAAGGCGACGACGGGUAGCCGGCCUGAGAGGGCGACCGGCCACACUGGGACUGAGACACGGCCCAGACUCCUACGGGAGGCAGCAGUGGGGAAUAUUGCACAAUGGGCGAAAGCCUGAUGCAGCGACGCCGCGUGAGGGAUGACGGCC
This 387-nucleotide ribosomal RNA is filed under the name uncultured bacterium. RNAcentral describes it as "bacterial SSU rRNA". It matches the Rfam family "Bacterial small subunit ribosomal RNA", at positions 28 to 416 of the family's 1533-position model. The record is from RNAcentral.